RNAcentral lists this ribosomal RNA (253 nucleotides) under uncultured bacterium. Its description in RNAcentral is "partial 16S ribosomal RNA". It matches the Rfam family "Bacterial small subunit ribosomal RNA", at positions 524 to 776 of the family's 1533-position model. The record is from RNAcentral.
UACGGGGGGGGCAAGCGUUGUUCGGAAUUACUGGGCGUAAAGGGCUCGUAGGCGGCCAACUAAGUCGGACGUGAAAUCCCCAGGCUCAACCUGGGAACUGCGUCUGAUACUGGAUGGCUUGAAUCCGGGAGAGGGAUGCAGAAUUCCAGGUGUAGCGGUGAAAUGCGUAGAUAUCGUAAGGAAGACCAGUGGCGAAGGCGAAUCUCUGGACAGUUACUGACACUGAGGCACGAAGGCCAGGGGAGCAAACGGG